CAUUUAGUAUUUUUUUUUUUUUAAUGUCAAAGAACAAAAAUGCUAUUUUUCCCCAUGUGAAAACACUUUCGUGUCAAACUGUAUAUAGUAUGAGUUCUUUAUCAACCCAGACAAGUGUCAACGUUUUUGCAGACUUUUUUUUCACUAUAUAUGAAGACAUUUACAAAAAAAAAAAUAAAUUUACGUAUACUUUAUAAGGGGGCGAAAAAAAAGGCUUGGCACAAUUUAAGAGAAAAAAAAAAAAUCCGAAAUUCAAGAAAUAUAUAAGUAAUAUAAUACACAAAAAAAAUUUAUGCCGCCAAAAUCGACAAAUCGUCCAUAGUGCAUUGGCGAGUAAGAGCCUCAGUCCAAAGUUUAGGAAGAAUAAUUCGUGAUAGCGUGUUUUGGAUUGGGUAAGAUUAAGAUUGACGUAUUGGAUCUAAGGACGUCGGGUCAACCGUAAUCUAUUUUCUUAUCAACACUUUAGGUACUUUACAUACAUACAAUGUAUGUAUGUAUGUAGUACAUAUGCACAAUUAUUGCAAGAUAGAUCGAUGGAAUUUUCUCGAUGUUGAUAAAUCGGUACAGACGCCAAGCCACAACACAUAGAUACCUAUUUACCACAUUAUUUAAUUGUUGGCGGUUCCUUCACGGAAAACGGAAAAUUUUUUGAUCCCAUCUGGAAACACAUCAAAUAUGCGGAAACACAUCAAAUAUGCAAGAGCAUUUAAAGCGUGCACAUCCUCUCAAAAUCGUUGAACAAAAAUCGCAGAGAAUUGAUAAAUUUAUCGAGCGAACGGAUUUAUAUGAACCCUCGUCAUCCAGAAAGGCGUACCUAAACGGCCAGGAAAUGGUUGCAAGCGACUUGCACCUCAAAAUACAAGCCCACUGGAUUAUUGGAAGAUUACCUCCAUUCAAUUCGAAUCAUUUGCAAAAUGUGCAAAAAAAAAUACUGAUAAUUCCUGCUAGCUCCACGGAGUCUGAACGUAUUUUCAGCAAGGCAGGAGAAAUUACUGCGCACAAUCGGAGCAGUCUAAACCCAAAAGCAGUCGAUAUGCUAAUUUUCUUAAAGCACAAUAAUUGGCUACAUAAUGGAUCUCACGAUAAUUAAUUUCAGUUUUAAGCUCAAGGCUUUUGUAAAAGAUAGUCAAGCUUUGUUUUUUGAAUUUUAAGUUGAAUUUUAAGAC
This is a long non-coding RNA of Drosophila mojavensis, 1166 nucleotides long. RefSeq lists it as uncharacterized. NCBI's taxonomy places the organism in Eukaryota, Metazoa, Arthropoda, Insecta, Diptera, Drosophilidae. The transcript is spliced from 5 exons. The record is from RefSeq and is a predicted model, not a curated record.